Molecule: ribosomal RNA, 464 nt
Filed under: Vreelandella stevensii
Lineage: Bacteria; Pseudomonadati; Pseudomonadota; Gammaproteobacteria; Oceanospirillales; Halomonadaceae
Description: partial 16S ribosomal RNA
Rfam family: Bacterial small subunit ribosomal RNA
Source: RNAcentral
CCUACGCGGGGCAGCAGUGGGGAAUAUUGGACAAUGGGCGAAAGCCUGAUCCAGCCAUGCCGCGUGUGUGAAGAAGGCCUUCGGGUUGUAAAGCACUUUCAGUGGGGAAGAAAGCCUUGGGGCUAAUACCCUCGAGGAGGACAUCACCCACAGAAGAAGCACCGGCUAACUCCGUGCCAGCAGCCGCGGUAAUACGGAGGGUGCGAGCGUUAAUCGGAAUUACUGGGCGUAAAGCGCGCGUAGGCGGUCUGAUAAGCCGGUUGUGAAAGCCCCGGGCUCAACCUGGGAACGGCAUCCGGAACUGUCAGGCUAGAGUGCAGGAGAGGAAGGUAGAAUUCCCGGUGUAGCGGUGAAAUGCGUAGAGAUCGGGAGGAAUACCAGUGGCGAAGGCGGCCUUCUGGACUGACACUGACGCUGAGGUGCGAAAGCGUGGGUAGCAAACAGGAUUAGAUACCCUAGUAGUC